AUUGAACGCUGGCGGCAUGCCUUACACAUGCAAGUCGAACGGCAGCAUGGAGAGCUUGCUCUCUGAUGGCGAGUGGCGAACGGGUGAGUAAUGCAUCGGAACGUACCGUGUAAUGGGGGAUAACGUAGCGAAAGUUACGCUAAUACCGCAUACGACCUGAGGGUGAAAGCAGGGGGUCGCAAGACCUUGCGUUAUACGAGCGGCCGAUGUCAGAUUAGCUAGUUGGUGAGGUAAAGGCUCACCAAGGCGAGGAUCUGUAGCGGGUCUGAGAGGAUGAUCCGCCACACUGGGACUGACACACGGCCCAGACUCCUACGGGAGGCAGCAGUGGGGAAUUUUGGACAAUGGGGGCAACCCUGAUCCAGCCAUGCCGCGUGAGUGAAGAAGGCCUUCGGGUUGUAAAGCUCUUUCGGCCGGGAAGAAAUCGCACAGGCUAAUACUCUGUGUGGAUGACGGUACCGGCAUAAGAAGCACCGGCUAACUACGUGCCAGCCGCCGCGGUAA
Molecule: ribosomal RNA, 504 nt
Filed under: uncultured bacterium
Lineage: Bacteria
Description: partial 16S ribosomal RNA
Rfam family: Bacterial small subunit ribosomal RNA
Source: RNAcentral